CGUAACAAGGUUUCCGUAGGUGAACCUGCGGAAGGAUCAUUACCGAGUGAGGGCCCUCUGGGUCCAACCUCCCACCCGUGUCUAUCGUACCUUGUUGCUUCGGCGGGCCCGCCGUUUCGACGGCCGCCGGGGAGGCCUUGCGCCCCCGGGCCCGCGCCCGCCGAAGACCCCAACAUGAACGCUGUUCUGAAAGUAUGCAGUCUGAGUUGAUUAUCGUAAUCAGUUAAAACUUUCAACAACGGAUCUCUUGGUUCCGGCAUCGAUGAAGAACGCAGCGAAAUGCGAUAAGUAAUGUGAAUUGCAGAAUUCAGUGAAUCAUCGAGUCUUUGAACGCACAUUGCGCCCCCUGGUAUUCCGGGGGGCAUGCCUGUCCGAGCGUCAUUGCUGCCCUCAAGCACGGCUUGUGUGUUGGGCCCCCGUCCCCCUCUCCCGGGGGACGGGCCCGAAAGGCAGCGGCGGCACCGCGUCCGGUCCUCGAGCGUAUGGGGCUUUGUCACCUGCUCUGUAGGCCCGGCCGGCGCCAGCCGACACCCAA
RNAcentral lists this ribosomal RNA (535 nucleotides) under Aspergillus fumigatus. RNAcentral's name for it is "eukaryotic LSU rRNA". The stretch from base 228 to 381 matches the Rfam family "5.8S ribosomal RNA". Lineage: Eukaryota; Fungi; Ascomycota; Eurotiomycetes; Eurotiales; Aspergillaceae. The record is from RNAcentral.